Molecule: transfer RNA, 73 nt
Filed under: Rozella allomycis CSF55
Lineage: Eukaryota; Fungi; Rozellomycota
Description: tRNA-Lys (TTT) (tRNA-Lys-TTT-3-1)
Rfam family: tRNA
About the family: Transfer RNA (tRNA) molecules are approximately 80 nucleotides in length. Their secondary structure includes four short double-helical elements and three loops (D, anti-codon, and T loops).
Source: Rfam by way of RNAcentral
GCCCUGUUAGCUCAAUCGGUAGAGCGUGCGGCUUUUAACCGCAAGGUUCUGGGUUCGAUCCCCAGGCGGGGCG